This 1167-nucleotide ribosomal RNA is filed under the name Massilia sp. CCM 8734. RNAcentral describes it as "partial 23S ribosomal RNA". It matches the Rfam family "Bacterial large subunit ribosomal RNA", at positions 1 to 1209 of the family's 2925-position model. Lineage: Bacteria; Pseudomonadati; Pseudomonadota; Betaproteobacteria; Burkholderiales; Oxalobacteraceae. The record is from RNAcentral.
GUUAUAGGGACAAGCGAAUAAGUGCACAUGGUGGAUGCCUUGGCGAUUACAGGCGAUGAAGGACGUAGUAGCUUGCGAUAAGCUGCGGGGAGCUAGCAAACAAGCUUUGAUCCGCAGAUUUCCGAAUGGGGAAACCCGGCCUUUACAGGUCAUUGCAUACUGAAUACAUAGGUAUGCAAAGCGAACGCGGCGAACUGAAACAUCUAAGUAGCUGCAGGAAAAUAAAUCAACCGAGAUUCCCAAAGUAGUGGCGAGCGAAAUGGGAUGAGCCUGCACGUUUUAGCAUGACGCAUAGUAGAACGGAUUGGAAACUCCGGCCAUAGAGGGUGAUAGCCCCUUAUACGAAAUGCGAUGUGUGGAACUAAGCGUGCGACAAGUAGGGCGGGACACGAGAAAUCCUGUCUGAAUAUGGGGGGACCAUCCUCCAAGGCUAAAUACUCGUAAUCGACCGAUAGUGAACCAGUACCGUGAGGGAAAGGCGAAAAGAACCCCGGAAGGGGAGUGAAAUAGAUCCUGAAACCGUGUGCAUACAAACAGUAGGAGCGGACUUGUUCCGUGACUGCGUACCUUUUGUAUAAUGGGUCAGCGACUUACAUUCAGUGGCAAGGUUAACCGUAUAGGGAAGCCGUAGAGAAAUCGAGUCCGAAUAGGGCGACAGUCGCUGGGUGUAGACCCGAAACCAAGUGAUCUACUCAUGGCCAGGAUGAAGGUGCGGUAACACGCCCUGGAGGUCCGAACCCACUAAUGUUGAAAAAUUAGGGGAUGAGCUGUGGGUAGGGGUGAAAGGCUAAACAAACUUGGAAAUAGCUGGUUCUCUCCGAAAACUAUUUAGGUAGUGCCUCAAGUAUCACCAUCGGGGGUAGAGCACUGUUAUGGCUAGGGGUUCAUUGCGAAUUACCAAACCAUUGCAAACUCCGAAUACCGAUGAGUGCGAGCUUGGGAGACAGACGUCGGGUGCUAACGUCCGGCGUCAAGAGGGAAACAACCCAGACCGCCAGCUAAGGUCCCAAAGAUUGGCUAAGUGGAAAACGAAGUGGGAAGGCUAAAACAGUCAGGAUGUUGGCUUAGAAGCAGCCAUCAUUUAAAGAAAGCGUAAUAGCUCACUGAUCGAGUCGUCCUGCGCGGAAGAUGUAACGGGGCUAAGCCAGUCACCGAAGCUGCGGAUAU